RNAcentral lists this unclassified non-coding RNA (401 nucleotides) under soil metagenome. RNAcentral's name for it is "partial contains 5.8S ribosomal RNA, internal transcribed spacer 2, and large subunit ribosomal RNA". The stretch from base 1 to 121 matches the Rfam family "5.8S ribosomal RNA", at positions 35 to 154 of the family's 154-position model. The record is from RNAcentral.
GAUGAAGAACGUAGCAAAAUGCGAUAAGUAAUGUGAAUUGCAGAAUUCAGUGAAUCAUCGAAUCUUUGAACGCACCUUGCGCCCCUUGGUUAUUCCAAAGGGCAUGCCUGUUUGAGUAUCAUGAACACCUCAACUCUUGUGGUUUCCCACAAUGAGCUUGGACUGUGGAGGUUUUGUUGGCCCUGUGGUCAGCUCCUCUCAAAUGGAUCAGCUUACCGGUGUUUGGUGGCAUUACGGGUGUGAUAGCUAUCUACGCUCGUGGUCGUCUCCAAAUAACCUCCAGUGAUGGAGGUUCGCUGGAGCUUAUAAAUGUCUCUCCCCAGUGAAGACAGCCUUUGAACGUUCGAUCUCAAAUCAGGUAGGACUACCCGCUGAACUUAAGCAUAUCAAUAAGCGGAGGA